Long non-coding RNA from Choloepus didactylus (southern two-toed sloth), 1277 nucleotides. RefSeq lists it as uncharacterized. The transcript has 6 exons. Lineage: Eukaryota; Metazoa; Chordata; Mammalia; Pilosa; Megalonychidae. The record is from RefSeq and is a predicted model, not a curated record.
AGUAAUCUGAGAACAGCAUUUCUGGAGGCCAGCUGAAUGCACCUUUGUCGUGUCCUAUGGUGGAAGGACGGUAGAGAGGAACUUGUAUUUACCACUUGUCUAUUCCGUGCUGGGCGAUUGACAUACUCAUCUCAUUUAAUCCUCAGAGAGGUAGGUGAGCACUUCUGAUUGGCCAGGAUGGGAUUAAUAAUGUGUGAAAAAUUACUUGCUCACAACGACUGCACUGUACAAUGGAGUAAGAAUCGUGGUUCCCAAUGGAGGAUACAGGGCACCAUUUAUUGUCAGAAAGAGGAAACACAGGCAUCAAGCCAAUGGAACAACUUUUUGGCUAUGGAAGGACGCCAACAAAUUCUGGAAUGUUUGUCUUUAUCAAAAGUGGGAAAAUGAAAGACAGACAAAAAGAACGUGAACUCCUAGAGAUGAGGUAACUGAGAAGAGAGAAUCUUGCAAGAGCAAGUUGCUGAUAGUCCAGGCUAAAAACCAAGUACUCGUCCGAGGCGUUUCCGUUGGAGCCACCAAGGAAGAGACACAAAUGAUUGCUUACAGAAAAUAAUCUCCAAAUGAAUGCUGGCCUUUCGGCCCCUUACAUGCACUCUCUCCUCACUUCUCUCCAAGGCUGACCAUCAGCACCCUCAGUAAUAGAGCGUGUAGCCCCUUUCGAACUCACUCUCUGGGAGUCCGGGCAUGUUGUCCCACCCAGGAGCUUCCGCCAACCGGGUAGCCACAUCUGGGACCUGUUGAGUAGUUGUGCCCCUUCCUCUCCCAUCACUUACUUGUUAUCUUCAUCCUUGACCUCGACCCUCUGGGGGUCCAGCGGGCCCUUGUAGUCCUUGGACCACUGAAACUCCGAGGAGUCGGGGGCCUCGGGGGCUUCGAAAGCCAAGUAGAUAAAACCCUUCUCAUCCACACCAACCUCGAUCUCCCGGGCAUCUGAGGGGAGGAGCCAAGGGAGGGCACUUAUAAAUAACAAAUCAGGUCAUUCCUCUCUCCCGCUCCCCGCUUACAACCCUCCAUGGCUCCCCAGUGCACUUGAGGAAAAUAAAUGAAGCCUUCAGGCCAUGCACGGCCUGGCUCCUUCUCAGCUCAAAUGCUACCUCCUCAGAGAAGCCACCCCUGACCAGUCUGGCUAAAGUACCCCCUCCUCACCUCACCCCACCACCCUCUUAUAUUUCCUUUACAGCACCUGUUAUUAUCAUAAAUCAUGUUCUUUAUGUAAUUGCUUGUUUACUGUCCAUUCCCCUUGCACACCUCUCCCCAUGCACACACUACAGCAGGGA